RNAcentral lists this ribosomal RNA (589 nucleotides) under Curvularia geniculata. RNAcentral describes it as "eukaryotic LSU rRNA". The stretch from base 207 to 360 matches the Rfam family "5.8S ribosomal RNA". The record is from RNAcentral. Lineage: Eukaryota; Fungi; Ascomycota; Dothideomycetes; Pleosporales; Pleosporaceae.
CGUAGGGGUACCUGCGGAGGGAUCAUUACAAAAUAAGCGUAGUAAGGCUGCACCGCCAACAGGCGGCAAGGCUGGAGUAUUUUAUUACCCUUGUCUUUUGCGCACUUGUUGUUUCCUGGGCGGGUUCGCCCGCCUCCAGGACCACAUGAUAAACCUUUUUUAUGCAGUUGCAAUCAGCGUCAGUACAACAAAUGUAAAUCAUUUACAACUUUCAACAACGGAUCUCUUGGUUCUGGCAUCGAUGAAGAACGCAGCGAAAUGCGAUACGUAGUGUGAAUUGCAGAAUUCAGUGAAUCAUCGAAUCUUUGAACGCACAUUGCGCCCUUUGGUAUUCCAAAGGGCAUGCCUGUUCGAGCGUCAUUUGUACCCUCAAGCUUUGCUUGGUGUUGGGCGUUUUUUGUCUUUGGUUUUGUCCAAAGACUCGCCUUAAAACGAUUGGCAGCCGGCCUACUGGUUUCGCAGCGCAGCACAUUUUUGCGCUUGCAAUCAGCAAAAGAGGACGGCACUCCAUCAAGACUCUAUAUCACUUUUGACCUCGGAUCAGGUAGGGAUACCCGCUGAACUUAAGCAUAUCAAUAGGCCGGAGGAA